Molecule: ribosomal RNA, 494 nt
Filed under: uncultured bacterium
Lineage: Bacteria
Description: partial 16S ribosomal RNA
Rfam family: Bacterial small subunit ribosomal RNA
Source: RNAcentral
GACGAACGCUGGCGGCGUGCCUAAUACAUGCAAGUCGAACGCCGACGGAGGAGCUUGCUUCUCUGGAUGAGUUGCGAACGGGUGAGUAACGCGUAGGUAACCUGCCUUGUAGUGGGGGAGAACUAUUGGAAACGAUAGCUAAUACCGCAUAAGAGACGAUGUUGCAUGACAUUCGCUUAAAAGUUGCAAUUGCAUCACUACCAGAUGGCGCUGCGUUGUAUUAGAUAGUGGGUGGGGUAAAGGCCCACCAAGGCGACGACCCAUAGCGGAUCUGAGAGGGGGAUCGGCCACACUGGAACUGAGACACGGCCCAGACUCCUACGGGAGGCAGCAGUGGGGAAUAUUGGACAAUGGGCGCAAGCCUGACGCAGCAAGACCGCGUGGGUGAAGAAGGUCUUCGGUUUGUAAAGCCCGUUUGUUGGGAAAGAAAAGCAGGAGGUUAGAACGUUGACGUUGUGACGGUACCUAAACAAAAAGCACCGGCUAACUACGUG